RNAcentral lists this ribosomal RNA (477 nucleotides) under uncultured bacterium. RNAcentral's name for it is "bacterial SSU rRNA". It matches the Rfam family "Bacterial small subunit ribosomal RNA", at positions 329 to 793 of the family's 1533-position model. The record is from RNAcentral.
GCAGAGCAUCCUACGGGAGGCAGCAGUGGGGAAUAUUGCACAAUGGGCGCAAGCCUGAUGCAGCCAUGCCGCGUGUAUGAAGAAGGCCUUUCGGGUUGUAAAGUACUUUCAGCUAGUGAGGAAGGUGGAUAUGUUAAUAGCAUAUUCAUUUGACGUUUAGCUGCAGAAGAAGCACCGGCUAACUCCGUGCCAGCAGCCGCGGUAAUACGGAGGGUGCGAGCGUUAAUCGGAAUUACUGGGCGUAAAGCGCAUGCAGGUGGUUUGUUAAGUCAGAUGUGAAAGCCCGGGGCUCAACCUCGGAAUUGCAUUUUGAAACUGGCAAACUAGAGUACUGUAGAGGGGGUAGGAAUUUCAGGUGUAGCGGUGAAAUAGCGUAGAGAUCUGAAGGAAUACCGGUGGCGAAGGCGGCCCCCUGGACAGAUACUGACACUCAGAUGCGAAAGCGUGGGGAGCAAACAGGAUUAGAUACCCUGGUAG